GAGGAAAAGAAACUAACAAGGAUUCCCCUAGUAACGGCGAGUGAACCGGGAAGAGCUCAAAUUUGAAAUCUGGCGUCCUCAGGGCGUCCGAGUUGUAAUCUAUAGAGGCGUUUUCCGUGCCGGACCGUGUCCAAGUUCCUUGGAACAGGAUAUCAAAGAGGGUGACAAUCCCGUACUUGACACGACGACCGGUGCUCUGUGAUACGUCUUCUACGAGUCGAGUUGUUUGGGAAUGCAGCUCAAAAUGGGUGGUGAGUUCCAUCUAAAGCUAAAUAUUGGCGAGAGACCGAUAGCGAACAAGUACCGUGAGGGAAAGAUGAAAAGCACUUUGGAAAGAGAGUUAAACAGUACGUGAAAUUGUUGAAAGGGAAACGAUUGAAGUCAGUCGUGACCGAGAGGCUCAGCCGGUUCUGCCGGUGUAUUCCCCUCGGUCGGGUCAACAUCAGUUUUGUCUGGUGGAUAAGGGCGGUAGGAAGGUGGCACCCUCGGGUGUGUUAUAGCCUGCCGUCGCAUACAUCGGGUGAGACUGAGGAACGCAGCUCGCCUUUAUGGCCGGGGUUCGCCCACGUCCGAGCUUAGGAUGUUGACAUAAUGGCUUUAAACGACCCGUCUUGAAA
This 617-nucleotide ribosomal RNA is filed under the name Papiliotrema laurentii. RNAcentral's name for it is "eukaryotic LSU rRNA". It matches the Rfam family "Eukaryotic large subunit ribosomal RNA", at positions 53 to 659 of the family's 3401-position model. Lineage: Eukaryota; Fungi; Basidiomycota; Tremellomycetes; Tremellales; Rhynchogastremaceae. The record is from RNAcentral.